RNAcentral lists this ribosomal RNA (476 nucleotides) under uncultured organism. Its description in RNAcentral is "partial 16S ribosomal RNA". It matches the Rfam family "Bacterial small subunit ribosomal RNA", at positions 333 to 800 of the family's 1533-position model. The record is from RNAcentral.
ACACUCCUACGGGAGGCAGCAGUGGGGAAUUUUGGACAAUGGGCGAAAGCCUGAUCCAGCAAUGCCGCGUGAGUGAAGAAGGCCUUCGGGUUGUAAAGCUCUUUUGUCAGGGAAGAAACGGUGAGAGCUAAUAUCUCUUGCUAAUGACGGUACCUGAAGAAUAAGCACCGGCUAACUACGUGCCAGCAGCCGCGGUAAUACGUAGGGUGCAAGCGUUAAUCGGAAUUACUGGGCGUAAAGCGUGCGCAGGCGGUUUUGUAAGUCUGAUGUGAAAUCCCCGGGCUCAACCUGGGAAUUGCAUUGGAGACUGCAAGGCUAGAAUCUGGCAGAGGGGGGUAGAAUUCCACGUGUAGCAGUGAAAUGCGUAGAUAUGUGGAGGAACACCGAUGGCGAAGGCAGCCCCCUGGGUCAAGAUUGACGCUCAUGCACGAAAGCGUGGGGAGCAAACAGGAUUAGAUACCCGAGUAGUCCCAUGA